GAAAUGCGAUACGCAAUGCGAAUUGCAGAAUUCCGCGAAUCAUCAGAUUCUUGAACGCAACUGGCGCUGGAGGGAUAUCCUUCCAGCAUGUCUGUUUCAGUGUCUGAAAACAUCCUAAAUCAUUCUAAUGUGUUUGACAAGGAAUAAAUCAUAUAUAUCAAUUGAUAUUAUAUUUGUCUUCUGAGUCUUACAUGAAAGAUGUAUGUGUGGGUCUUUGGAUCCAUCGAAUUGGUCAUCGAUUUCUUCGGUGAUUUCGAUUGGAUAUUCACCAAUUACUCGUAUACACAUAGAAUUUACAUAUAUAUAUUUAUUUAUAGAUAUAUAUAUAAACUUCUUUAUCAUCUGCAUCUGAAAUCAGGCAAGAAAACCCGCUGAACUUAAGC
This 383-nucleotide unclassified non-coding RNA is filed under the name plant metagenome. RNAcentral describes it as "partial contains 5.8S ribosomal RNA, internal transcribed spacer 2, and large subunit ribosomal RNA". The stretch from base 1 to 105 matches the Rfam family "5.8S ribosomal RNA", at positions 50 to 154 of the family's 154-position model. The record is from RNAcentral.